GGUGGGGUACCGAAGUGGUCGUAACGGGGACGACUCGAAAUCGUCUUGCUGCGAAAGUGGCACGUGGGUUCGAAUCCCACCUCCACCGCCA
RNAcentral lists this transfer RNA (91 nucleotides) under Patescibacteria group bacterium. Its description in RNAcentral is "tRNA-Ser". It matches the Rfam family "tRNA". From Rfam's summary of the family: Transfer RNA (tRNA) molecules are approximately 80 nucleotides in length. Their secondary structure includes four short double-helical elements and three loops (D, anti-codon, and T loops). The record is from RNAcentral.